This 120-nucleotide ribosomal RNA is filed under the name uncultured bacterium. RNAcentral describes it as "partial 16S ribosomal RNA". It matches the Rfam family "Bacterial small subunit ribosomal RNA", at positions 796 to 917 of the family's 1533-position model. The record is from RNAcentral.
CACGCCCUAAACGAUGCUUACUCGACGUAUGGCACUAGUUGUUGUGCGUCCAAGGGAAACCGUUAAGUAAGCCACCUGGGGAGUACGACCGCAAGGUUGAAACUCAAAGGAAUUGACGGG